ACGCUCGACACCUACGGGAAGCAGCAGUCGGGAAUAUUGCGCAAUGGAGGAAACUCUGACGCAGUGACGCCGCGUAUGGGAAGAAGGUUUUCGGAUUGUAAACCAUUUUAGACAGGGAAGAAAAAAGACAGUACCUGUAGAAUAAGCUCCGGCUAACUACGUGCCAGCAGCCGCGGUAAUCUGAGCGGGCUGGCAAGGC
RNAcentral lists this ribosomal RNA (199 nucleotides) under uncultured bacterium. RNAcentral's name for it is "partial 16S ribosomal RNA". It matches the Rfam family "Bacterial small subunit ribosomal RNA", at positions 326 to 539 of the family's 1533-position model. The record is from RNAcentral.